This 253-nucleotide ribosomal RNA is filed under the name uncultured bacterium. RNAcentral describes it as "partial 16S ribosomal RNA". It matches the Rfam family "Bacterial small subunit ribosomal RNA", at positions 524 to 776 of the family's 1533-position model. The record is from RNAcentral.
UACGAAGGGGGCUAGCGUUGUUCGGAAUUACUGGGCGUAAAGGGCGCGUAGGCGGCGAUCCGAGUCAGAUGUGAAAGUCCUGGGCUUAACCUGGGGACUGCAUUUGAUACUGGAUUGCUUGAAUUCGGGAGAGGAUAGCGGAAUUCCCAGUGUAGAGGUGAAAUUCGUAGAUAUUGGGAAGAACACCGGUGGCGAAGGCGGCUAUCUGGACCGACAUUGACGCUGAGGCGCGAAAGCGUGGGGAGCAAACAGG